This is a non-coding RNA of Oryza sativa Japonica Group (Japanese rice), 5823 nucleotides long. The record is from RefSeq and is a predicted model, not a curated record. NCBI's taxonomy places the organism in Eukaryota, Viridiplantae, Streptophyta, Magnoliopsida, Poales, Poaceae.
UUAGUUUUUUUUAUUAGUGCUCGAACACCCCAUACGACACCUUAUAUAAUAUCCGAUGUGACAUACCAAAGACUUUACAUCCGUGGAUCAUAACACCCCCUACCUAUAAGCAAGAGGAAAUGUUGGUCCUACCUUUUCCUAUCCAACCUUUACGAACUACUACUCCUUUCCAAUUUAUCGCCCCCAAACCGGCAGACGGAUCCAGCGGUGGCGUCCGCAGGAGGAGGAGGCAGUGACGGCGGCGGCGGCGGCGACUGUGCUCGCGGGGGGCUGCAGUGGCGGCGGGAAGGAGGUCGCGACGGUGGUGGCCCUCAUGUUCCCUUUCCGGUUGGCGAAUGCACGUCAUGCAAUGCCAUGCCGCCGCCGCCGCCGCCGCCGCCACGGUUCCCGCCUACUGUGCCCUUAUCCGCCCUCUGGCCUCCGCCGGCCGCGUCGAUGCCGUCGACGCCGCCGUCGCCUCCGCGCGCUCUCGCCUCUCCCCCGCCACCAUCCACCCGCUCUACGUCGCCUCCAUUCGCGCCUACGCACGCGCCGGCCGCCUCCGCGACGCCGUGGAUGCCUUCGAGCGCAUGGACCUCUUCGCCUGCCCACCCGCCGCCCCCGCCUACAACGCCAUCAUGGACGCCCUCGUCGACGCCGCCUACCACGACCAGGCCCACAAGGUGUAUGUCAGGAUGCUUGCCGCCGGCGUUUCCCCCGACCUCCACACACACACCAUCCGCCUCAGGUCUUUCUGCCUCACCGCCCGCCCACACAUCGCUCUCCGCCUCCUUCGAGCCUUGCCACACCGCGGAGCGGUCGCCUACUGCACCGUCGUCUGCGGCCUCUAUGCGCACGGCCACACCCACGACGCGCGCCAACUGUUCGAUCAAAUGCUCCACACCCAUGUCUUCCCCAACCUCGCCGCUUUCAACAAGGUUUUACACGCUCUUUGCAAGAGAGGGGAUGUCUUGGAGGCUGGCCUACUUCUUGGAAAGGUCAUCCAGCGGGGCAUGUCUAUUAACCUCUUCACCUACAAUAUAUGGAUCCGGGGACUCUGUGAAGCUGGCAGGUUGCCCGAGGCUGUUCGACUUGUGGAUGGCAUGCGUGCAUACGCUGUUCCUGACGUCGUCACUUACAAUACGCUCAUCCGUGGACUCUGUAAGAAGUCGAUGCCCCAGGAAGCCAUGCACUAUCUUCGCAGGAUGAUGAAUCAGGGCUGCUUGCCCGAUGAUUUCACCUACAACACCAUCAUCGAUGGCUACUGCAAGAUAAGUAUGGUGCAAGAAGCUACUGAGCUCUUGAAGGAUGCUGUCUUUAAAGGUUUUGUGCCAGACCAGGUCACGUAUUGCUCAUUGAUCAACGGCCUAUGUGCUGAGGGUGACGUUGAGAGGGCAUUGGAGCUGUUUAAUGAGGCCCAGGCAAAGGGAAUCAAGCCUGAUAUUGUCGUUUACAAUUCUCUUGUCAAGGGGCUCUGUCUUCAGGGGCUCAUCUUGCAUGCGCUGCAGGUCAUGAAUGAGAUGGCUGAGGAAGGUUGCCAUCCUGACAUUCAAACAUACAAUAUUGUCAUCAAUGGACUAUGCAAAAUGGGGAAUAUUUCGGACGCCACAGUUGUCAUGAACGAUGCCAUCAUGAAAGGCUACCUUCCAGAUGUGUUUACCUUCAACACAUUGAUUGAUGGGUACUGCAAGAGGUUGAAGCUGGACAGUGCUCUUCAGCUUGUUGAACGAAUGUGGGAAUAUGGCAUCGCUCCAGAUACUAUCACAUACAAUUCAGUCCUAAAUGGCCUCUGCAAAGCUGGGAAGGUCAAUGAAGUCAAUGAAACAUUCCAAGAGAUGAUCCUUAAAGGUUGUCAUCCAAACCCUAUCACAUACAACAUACUGAUAGAGAAUUUCUGCAGGUCUAAUAAAAUGGAAGAAGCUUCGAAGGUGAUAGUGAAGAUGAGUCAAGAAGGAUUGCAUCCUGAUGCAGUUAGUUUCAACACACUGAUUUAUGGGUUCUGUAGGAAUGGUGAUCUUGAGGGAGCAUACCUAUUGUUUCAGAAAUUGGAGGAGAAAGGGUACUCUGCAACAGCCGAUACUUUUAAUACCCUGAUUGGUGCGUUUUCUGGGAAACUGAAUAUGCAUAUGGCAGAAAAGAUUUUUGAUGAGAUGCUCAGCAAGGGCCAUAGAGCUGAUUCAUAUACUUAUCGUGUUCUAAUUGAUGGAUCCUGCAAGACUGCAAAUGUUGACCGUGCAUACAUGCAUCUAGUAGAAAUGAUAAAGAAGGGUUUUAUUCCUUCGAUGUCAACAUUUGGUCGUGUAAUAAACUCACUAACAGUGAACCAUCGUGUUUUUCAAGCUGUUGGAAUUAUUCACAUCAUGGUGAAAAUCGGAGUAGUUCCUGAGGUUGUUGAUACCAUCUUGAAUGCUGAUAAGAAGGAGAUAGCUGCACCAAAGAUACUUGUUGAGGACUUGAUGAAGAAGGGUCACAUUAGUUACCCUACUUAUGAAGUUCUGCAUGAAGGAGUUAGAGAUAACAAAUUAACUAGAAAACACCGAAUGUUGUUGCUCAACAACCUCAGUCAUUCAUAAUCAUUAGAGACAGCAUGGCUUUGUUGUGUCAACCAACCCACAAGUGUUUAUGUUUCUAGUUCUCCAGGAUCUUGUAUGCAGUCAAACUUUGUUACUUCAGGUGCAAUCUACCAUAUAUUGCUUAGAAUAUGGAAAACAGAGAGCAUCUGAUCCGAAAUGCAGGAAAACGACAGAAGGUCUGUGGCUAUUCUUUGUACUUCAUAUUCUAAGGACACUAGGCUAGAGUCUUCUCUACAUUUAAUUUCAUACUUCACGCAAAAAAAUGUUUGUCUCGGACUGCAAGGCCGUUGGUAGUAGUUAAUAGUUUGGAACAUCAACCAUAUACAAAGAUUUCAGAUACUAUUCAUGUUUUGAAGUACUCCUGUGUUUUCUCUUGCCCUGGAAAGAUACUUUUGGUUUUCUGCGUGAACCAGAUUAACCGGGCUAGAAGUGUGAAUUCGAAACAACUGCAUUUGCUCUGCACUUGGAUUCUUCUUCCCAUUCAGAUUGUGCCGACCUGCUGAGAAUAAGAUUAAAGAGAUCUUCAACGGUCAGCCAAAUUAAUAGUUAUAUUUAAAGGAAAUGUCAAUUCCCACAUUCAUACCAUAAUCUUCAGCAAGAGAACAGUAUGGCUGUUGUUCAAAUGUUUUUGGGAUUCUAUUAUUAUCAAAAAUGGUUUGGGCAUUAAAGCUGGAACUGACAAGGAGAUGGGAGGGACCAUCAGCUUCCAGGUCGCUCAUGUAUAGUUUUAUCUACUCAUUCACAGGAAAAUGAGCCAGUGGUCAGUGGCUCUCUGACCUGUCAAACUAUGGUAGUAGCUAGAAUAUGCUAAAAGGUACUGUAACUCUAUGGUUUGGUGCCAAGUAUAAAUGAUACCUGUUUAAAUGAGAAGAGAGGUAAGCAUCACUUGCAUACUUGGGCCAGGUGGCAUUGGAGACCAGUUUAAUCAAAACAAUCGGUCACAGAACUGAUACCAGGUUUGCGAGCUAUCACAAUUCACGACUGAUCAAUAUGCACUCUUUCACUCAUUUCUUCACAACUGACCAUCUUUUUGUUUAUUGCUGAUUUAAUGAAGAAGAGCCAAAUGAGUUGGAAUUGUUCUACAAUGGAUGAUAACCUGAUUGUCCUGAUAUAAGCACUGACGUAAAUUCCCUUAGGUUGGUUCGAGCAGGAUAAUGGGGCAUGGGCUCAUGGAUGUCAUGGUCUGUAUCAAGUCCGACCGGCUUAUAGGUUGCUAGUUGAAAAAGGCAAGAGAGAGGUGAUAAGCAUCUUGCCACAUUGGCACGUCCCAAGAUGGUGAAGAUCCAAUUUAUAGGCUUUUGUGGAAAUAUAAAGUUCAGCUGAAGGUGUGAGUUUUCUAGUGGCAUGUCAGUAAUUGUAGUGCCGGCUCAUGCUGUUAUGCAUUGGAGGCAUAUUGGUCAGAUUGCUUUUCCGGUGCAGACUGUAGGCGGGCAUAUGAUACUGUCCUCUCCCGCCGUUAAUUUGUCAAGAAAGCAACAUGCAUAAGAUUGAUUAUAUUGGCAAUUACUGCCAACAGGGUGUGUUGAGAUAAAUGUUGAUGGUGCUCAACUGCGCAUUAUGCUGACCAAUCUCAAGGUGUCUCCAGUGUGGUGAUCUAAUCAUCUAAGGAGGCUUUUAUCGCGGUAAUGUCCAAGUGGUAUGAUCCUAUUCAUGUUCUCUGGUUGCAGUGUUUAAUUUGAUUGUUGAGUUGGGGGGAUUGAUCAUGUUAUGGUGCAGAGGGACUGCCGAUAUCUCUAGUUUCACUUUGGUCUUGUUAGCAUCGGGCGUCAAUCUUGCAUAUCCUGGAGGAAAUACAAGAGCUAAGAAAGAGUUUUGUUUCUUUUAUUAUUGUGUAUGCUAAAACGAUAAAACUAAUUUAGCUACUCAUCCGUGUGUAAAGCAGACAAACAUGCUGUAUGAUUCGCACUUGGUUGAGUAAUUCAAUGAAAAGCUCAUGGUCUAAAAAAAAUUGAGUCAAGAAAAACAAAACAUAUACUUGUAGUUCACUUGAGAAAGUAUUCUAAAGUUUUAUUAAUAUUUUAUUUGAAAUUAAAUAUUAUAGGCAAAAGGUUUCACCACAGGAUAAUAUAUUUAUCUGUGAGUUGAGGUAUUCAUUUGUGUUGUAUCCUUGCUCAUAGAUAUUAGAUUUGGUAUGAGUGGACCAACUGAACCAUAAGGCUGAAUCAGCAUGAAGUACGUGUAAGCACUAAGCAAACAAGGAGAUGGUUACAUUUAACUUGGACGUUUUUCAAAGCUGUCGGGCUAGUUGCUUCCUGUUACGCCAUAUUCUGUCCUUUUCAGCUUAUGUCAUACUGAGAGAAAACAAAAUGAAUAACAGAGAUGCUGUGUUAAUUGUCUUAAUAUCUUUUGCAUAAUCAAAGCUACUGGUGGGGCCGUUGAUGCAGACUACUUAGCAUAAUGCUUAUGCAACUGGUUCUUGAAAUGGUGCCUCUAGUUCCAUCAUCCUGCAAAAAAUUGGACCAAUAGUAGGUUAAUGUUUUGACUUGUAGCACGGUAGCUGGAUUCCAAUGCUUUACUAUUAGUAUUACUAAUUCAUUAACAACCGGGCAGGCCUUGAAAAUUAAGUGGAGUUGAUAGGAGGCCUAAGUGUCCAUCAAACCUGCAGGCUGCAGCAGCACCGCUCCUCUUCUCUCGUGUUGCUUGCUUCUUCUACGGAGGGAUCACACUCCAGUUUCAGGCUCUACAGGACCAAAACUAAAACAGCAGUUGCAUAGCCUUUUUGUCCUGUUGAGUUGAGGAAGAUGUUGCCCCUUGAACACAAGCUGGAUGGAUACUGAAUUGUUGUGCUUGUUGCUUUUAAUCGUGGAAGCUAGGAGCUUCAAGAUUUAUUGUUCCUCUUGCUUCUGACCUUGCAAGCUAGGAGCUUGCACUGCAGGUGAAUUGCGAGUUAUGGGAGUAGUUCUUCUGGGUUUCUUUGGCCAACUGAUAAGACGACGAGCUGCUUGUCUGCGCUGGAAGCAAGCCGGCCGAGCAUCUUACCGCUGCAGCUAGCACCUUGACAAUUUCUCAGUUCUACAGCUUUGUUUAUAUAUGUUAAUGCAUGAAAUACAUGAGGAUGAACGCCCAGUUGUUGCAAGGCCUGUGUUCUGAUGGCAUAUGGAAGUAUGUUCUUCUAUGGUCAUUCCAAGGCAAUAGACAUCAUGGGAUAUUGACUUGGGGCGAUGUUUAUGUCGAUAAAGUGAUCACAGAAAUCAAAGGAGAUCUUUAUGAUAGCCCCAUUGAUAGCAAGAACCAGAUAGUAAUGUCUACUUUGUACAACAAUGACCAGUAC